AUCGCUUGUUGGACCCUAUAUUGCUCGUCGAGUGUGACCGUCACUGCGACUGCCCCACGGCAUACGAGCACGCACCUGCGACGUCUCAUCGCCGCACACGUGACACACAUUGCAAAGAAAUCGAAAAAAAAAUGAAGCAGUAUGCAAAGAUUUUGGAGCCGCUUGAUCUCGGUUUUGCGAAGCUGCGCAAUCGCGUCGUGAUGGCCAGCAUGCACACGGGAUUGGAGUCACCGAUACACGCGACUCGUUCCGCCGCAGCCGCUGAAGGCAACCCGUACGCGCGUCUCGCACGCUUCUAUAGGGAGAGGGCGAAAGGCCAGGCCGGGCUCAUCGUCACAGGCGGCUUCUCGCCCAGCGCUGAGGGCGUUUUGUAUCCUGGUGAGAGCGUGCUAGGCCCGAAGGAUGCCGACCAGCUGCGGUGUGUCACCGACGCGGUGCACGUCGAGGGCGGGCACAUUUUGCUGCAAAUGCUGCACUCCGGCCGCUACUCCACCGGCGAUCAGUGCGUGGCACCGUCGCCGAUUCCGAGCCAGAUCUCUCCCACGCAGAAGGUGCCGGUGGAGAUGAGUGUCGCACUCAUCCAACGGACGGUCGAGGACUUUGCUCGCCUUGCGAUCUGCGCUCAGAAGGCGGGCUUCGAUGGGGUGGAGAUUAUGGGUUCCGAAGGCUACCUGCUGAAUCAGUUUAUCGCCCGGCACACAAAUCACCGCACCGACGACUACGGCGGUAGCUUCGAGAACCGCAUCCGCUUUCCACUGGAGGUGCUCCGCGCAGUGCGGGAUGCCACGGGGCCGAACUUCAUCAUCGCGUUCCGCGUGUCACUUCUGGAUCUCGUCCCCAACGGCUCGACGCAGGCGGAGGUUUUUGAGCUGGCGGAGAAGGUAUCCAAAUCUGGGGCGAACAUCAUCGACAGCGGCAUUGGCUGGCACGAGUCCCGCGUGCCGACCAUCGCUACUUCCGUGCCGCGUGCGGGGUACACCUGGGCCACAGCGGCGGUCCGGUCGCAUCUUCGCCGUCAAGGCAUCCACAUCCCUCUUAUUGCGGUAAAUCGAAUGAACCACCCUGACAUUCUGGAGCAAGUGCUGGAGAACGGCGAUGCGGACCUCGUCGCUAUGGCGCGCCCCUUCCUCAGUGAUCCAUACUUUGUGAAGAAGACAAUGUCAGGCGCGGCCGAUCGCAUCAACAUCUGCAUCGCCUGCAACCAGGCCUGCCUGGACAACAUCUUCACUGGAAAGACGGCCUGCUGCAUGCUCAACCCACUGGCCGCGCAUGAGGCGGAACGCGCAGCGUUACCCGCGCCCGCCGCGAAGAAGGUAGCCGUAAUCGGCGGCGGCCCCGCUGGCGCGUCCGCCGCGAUCACGCUAGCCGAUCGCGGCCACCACGUCACGCUGUACGAGGCAAACUCGGUGCUGGGCGGCCAGUUCAACCUCGCAAAGCGCAUCCCCGGCAAGGAGGAGUUCCAGAGCAGCAUCGACUACUGGACAAAUACGCUGAAGAAGCACGCGAAUGUGACGCUGAAGUUGAGCAAGCGCGCGACCGUGGAGGAGGUUGCAACCGGCGGCUACGACGAGGUGGUGGUGGCAACCGGGUGUGAGCCGCACGCCAAAUCAGGUGCGCUCAUUGCCGGCAUGGAGAAGUAUCCCAACGUCUUCUCGUACACCGAGGCACUCCUGCAUCCGGAGAAGGUGGGCCGUCGGGUGGCCGUCAUCGGUGCUGGUGGCAUUGGCUUCGACAUGGCAGAGUUCCUCACUUCCCCGCACAGCACCUCGGCGAAGACGGUCGCCGCGGCGCAGUACACCAAGUUUGAAAAGCAGGAUAACGCCGAGUUCCGAAAGAAGUGGGGCAUCAAGUCUGCUGCCAUUGCGCAGGAAGAAGAGAAGGCUGGCACAUCCACCGGCGCAAGCGGCAGCAACAGCUGCUCACCCCUUCCAGGCGGUCUCGUGAAGCCUGUGACUCCUCGUCCUUACCGCGAGGUGACCAUGUUCCAGCGCACCCGUGGGAAACUCGGCGCACAUCUUGGUGCGACGACCGGGUGGAUCCAUCGUCUUGAGAUUCGCAUGAACCGCGUCAAGGCAGUGGAUGGGGUUACUUACAAGAGCUUCGACGGCACAAACCUCGUUUACGUUGAUAAGGAGGGCAAGGAACAGACACUGGCAGUGGACUCCGUCGUGCUAUGCACUGGGCAAGUCUCAAACAAGGAGUUUGAGAAGGCCGCAACGCCGGUUCUGUCGAAUCUGCAUACGAUAGGGGGCUGCAACUUCACCAAGAAGUUGGAUGCGAAACUGGCCAUUCUGCAAGCUCACAGCGUGGCGAUACGUCUGUGAGGGUGGGCUUGUUUGCCGUCACAGUACGGCACAGUGCUAGCGGGUCAAGUGCGAUGUCUCUUCCUCUUCUUGGCCGUUCGAUUUCUUUGCUCUUGUACGUGGCGGAAG
RNAcentral lists this unclassified non-coding RNA (2432 nucleotides) under Leishmania donovani. RNAcentral's name for it is "gene:LdHU3.33.1380(CDS-product:beta_tubulin)". The record is from RNAcentral. Lineage: Eukaryota; Euglenozoa; Kinetoplastea; Trypanosomatida; Trypanosomatidae.